AGAGCAUGUUAGAAGGACAUCUCCUGAUAUGUUGCUUGUAUCUUUCCCAAGCUUCAUAGAGGGAUUCACCAUCUUUCUAUCUGAAUGUCUGAAUUUCCACCCUGAUCUU
Molecule: small nucleolar RNA, 109 nt
Organism: Arachis duranensis
Lineage: Eukaryota; Viridiplantae; Streptophyta; Magnoliopsida; Fabales; Fabaceae
Source: RefSeq, a predicted model, not a curated record